This 253-nucleotide ribosomal RNA is filed under the name uncultured bacterium. RNAcentral's name for it is "partial 16S ribosomal RNA". It matches the Rfam family "Bacterial small subunit ribosomal RNA", at positions 524 to 776 of the family's 1533-position model. The record is from RNAcentral.
UACAGAGGUCCCAAGCGUUGUUCGGAUUCACUGGGCGUAAAGGGUGCGUAGGUGGUGGGACAAGUUCGAUGUGAAAUCUCCGGGCUCAACCCGGAAACUGCAUUGAAAACUGUUCUGCUUGAGGGUCGGAGGGGAGACUGGAAUUCUCGGUGUAGCAGUGAAAUGCGUAGAUAUCGAGAGGAACACCAGUGGCGAAGGCGAGUCUCUGGACGACUCCUGACACUGAUGCACGAAAGCUAGGGGAGCAAACAGG